UACGAAGGGUGCAAGCGUUAAUCGGAAUUACUGGGCGUAAAGCGUGCGUAGGCGGUUGGCUAAGUCAGAUGUGAAAGCCCUGGGCUCAACCUGGGAAUGGCAUUUGAAACUGGCGAGCUAGAGUGUGAUAGAGGAUGGCGGAAUUCCCGGUGUAGCGGCGAAAUGCGUAGAGAUCGGGAGGAACAUCCGUGGCGAAGGCGGCCAUCUGGAUCAACACUGACGCUGAGGCACGAAAGCGUGGGGAGCAAACAGG
RNAcentral lists this ribosomal RNA (253 nucleotides) under uncultured bacterium. RNAcentral's name for it is "partial 16S ribosomal RNA". It matches the Rfam family "Bacterial small subunit ribosomal RNA", at positions 524 to 776 of the family's 1533-position model. The record is from RNAcentral.